UACGAAGGGGGCUAGCGUUGUUCGGAAUUACUGGGCGUAAAGCGCACGUAGGCGGUUUUGUAAGUUAGAGGUGAAAGCCUGGGGCUCAACUCCAGAAUAGCCUUUAAGACUGCAUCACUUGAACACGGGAGAGGUGAGUGGAAUUCCGAGUGUAGAGGUGAAAUUCGUAGAUAUUCGGAAGAACACCAGUGGCGAAGGCGGCUCACUGGACCGUUGUUGACGCUGAGGUGCGAAAGCGUGGGGAGCAAACAGG
This 253-nucleotide ribosomal RNA is filed under the name uncultured bacterium. Its description in RNAcentral is "partial 16S ribosomal RNA". It matches the Rfam family "Bacterial small subunit ribosomal RNA", at positions 524 to 776 of the family's 1533-position model. The record is from RNAcentral.